CCUGCUCGUGCAGCGACGGCAUCUCACGCGUGCCUCUCCAGUGUUUGGCUCAAGCGCUCGUGUGCUGAGCCAAAGUCGGUUAUCCUGUGCUGUAUACCCAAUGAGAUGGCAUUGCUUCGGCUAAGUUGUCCCUUAUUCGUCCAGCGCCGCAACUCCUUAAGGAGGAGCGGAGUGGGGCGAACCACUAAGCUCCCUUCGUGUUUCCCUGCGUUGUCACCCGCCAUCCGUGCGUGUGCCUUCAAAGGCGACCCACGUCGGUGCGCUCGAUCUCUCGGAURCGGAACAUUGAGCGGCAUAGGGACCUCUCGGCCCUGAAUGCCCCCAAUAGAGCGUUCUACGCCCCGUGCGAACGACUGCCGCCCGACCUUGUGGUCUUGAGCCCACUAGGGCUCGACCUCAUGCCGGACCGGCGUCGGU
This 417-nucleotide unclassified non-coding RNA is filed under the name Teucrium luteum subsp. gabesianum. Its description in RNAcentral is "partial external transcribed spacer". Lineage: Eukaryota; Viridiplantae; Streptophyta; Magnoliopsida; Lamiales; Lamiaceae. The record is from RNAcentral.